This 629-nucleotide ribosomal RNA is filed under the name uncultured bacterium. RNAcentral describes it as "bacterial SSU rRNA". It matches the Rfam family "Bacterial small subunit ribosomal RNA", at positions 338 to 951 of the family's 1533-position model. The record is from RNAcentral.
CCUACGGGAGGCAGCAGUGGGGAAUUUUGGACAAGUGGGCGCAAGCCUGAUCCAGCAAUGCCGCGUGAGUGAAGAAGGCCUUCGGGUUGUAAAGCUCUUUUGUCAGGGAAGAAACGGGUCUUUCUAAUACAGAGAUCUAAUGACGGUACCUGAAGAAUAAGCACCGGCUAACUACGUGCCAGCAGCCGCGGUAAUACGUAGGGUGCAAGCGUUAAUCGGAAUUACCUGGGCGUAAAGCGGUGCGCAGGCGGUUUUUGAAGUUUGUCGUGAAAUCCCCGGGCUCAACCUGGGAAUGGCGAUGAAGACUGCAAGGCUAGAGUUUGGCAGAGGGGGGUAGAAUUCCACGUGUAGCAGUGAAAUGCGUAGAUAUGUGGAGGAACACCGAUGGCGAAGGCAGCCCCCUGGGUCAAAACUGACGCUCAUGCACGGAAAGCGUAGGGGAGCAAACAGGAUUAGGAUACCCUGGUACGUCCACGCCCUAAACGAUGUCUACUAGUUGUCGGGUCUUAAUUGACUUGGUAACGCAGCUAACGCGUGAAGUAGACCGCCGUGGGGAUCCGGUCGCGAAGAUUAAAACGUUAAUGAAAUUGACGGNUGAGACGNGACGACGACGACGACGAGGGAGGAGG